This is a non-coding RNA of Cordylochernes scorpioides, 72 nucleotides long. Lineage: Eukaryota; Metazoa; Arthropoda; Arachnida; Pseudoscorpiones; Chernetidae. The record is from the annotation of a GenBank genome assembly.
UAGUGUGUCCCACGUGGUUUAGGAUACCUGGCUCUCACCCAGGAGGCCCUGGUUCGAUUCCCGGCGUGGGAA